This 525-nucleotide ribosomal RNA is filed under the name uncultured bacterium. Its description in RNAcentral is "bacterial SSU rRNA". It matches the Rfam family "Bacterial small subunit ribosomal RNA", at positions 355 to 899 of the family's 1533-position model. The record is from RNAcentral.
UGGGGAAUCUUGGACAAUGGGGGCAACCCUGAUCCAGCCAUGCCGCGUGAGUGAUGAAGGCCUUAGGGUCGUAAAGCUCUUUCGCCUGUGAAGAUAAUGACGGUAGCAGGUAAAGAAACCCCGGCUAACUCCGUGCCAGCAGCCGCGGUAAUACGGAGGGGGUUAGCGUUGUUCGGAAUUACUGGGCGUAAAGAGUUCGUAGGCGGACUAGCAAGUUAGAGGUGAAAUCCCAGGGCUCAACCCCGGAACUGCCUCCAAAACUAUUGGUCUAGAGUUCGAGAGAGGUGAGUGGAAUUCCAAGUGUAGAGGUGAAAUUCGUAGAUAUUUGGAGGAACACCAGUGGCGAAGGCGGCUCACUGGCUCGAUACUGACGCUGAGGUGCGAAAGUGUGGGGAGCAAACAGGAUUAGAUACCCUGGUAGUCCACACCGUAAACGAUGAAUGCCAGUCGUCGGGUAGCAUGCUAUUCGGUGACACACCUAACGGAUUAAGCAUUCCGCCUGGGGAGUACGGUCGCAGAUUAAAA